ACUCCCUCCGUCUCAAAAUAAGUGCAGUUUUAGCACUAUUCAUGUUCAACGUUUGACCGUUCGUCUUAUUUCAAAAAAUAUUAUGAUUAGUAUUUUUAUUGUUAUUAGAUGAUAAAACAUGAAUAGUACUUUAUGUGUGACUAAUUUUUUUAAUAUUUUUCAAAUAAGACGGAUGGUCAAAGCGCUAAACACGGAUAUCUAUGGCUGCACUUAUUUUGGGACGGAGGUAG
Molecule: microRNA precursor, 230 nt
Filed under: Oryza sativa (Asian cultivated rice)
Lineage: Eukaryota; Viridiplantae; Streptophyta; Magnoliopsida; Poales; Poaceae
Description: partial microRNA MIR433c-6 precursor
Rfam family: MIR812 microRNA precursor family (bases 17-215)
Source: RNAcentral